CACACUUCACAGAAGUUACAUUGCCAGGUGUGACAUCAGCACAGACCAAACAAACGCCGAGCUUUAGGGAGGAGACGCAAGUCAGACUCCUAUGGCACCUGUUUGACAAUCUCUGGACUUUAACACUCGGGAUCUGAGACAGACUCUGUACUGUAGAAGAAGAGCUUAAAAAACAGGACAAAACUGCAAAGAUCUCUUGGGUUACGAAACGCCUCUAACGUUUGUUGGCUUCAGACCGCAGCAAACACCUGCACACUUUCCCAGGUAAGACACAAACAAUCAAACAUAAUUUUUAAGCUUUACACUGGGGGAAAACA
Molecule: long non-coding RNA, 317 nt
Filed under: Sinocyclocheilus grahami
Lineage: Eukaryota; Metazoa; Chordata; Actinopteri; Cypriniformes; Cyprinidae
Description: lncRNA (ENSSGRG00000001538.1)
Source: RNAcentral